CUGCUCCGGCUCGAGCUCAGCGCCCGUGCCUGAACGUGUGAGGAUGUCCGCAGCGCCCUCAUCUGGCACGCCGGCAGUAUAGACGUAAAGCGUCUUUCACCUCACCUGCUCCAAAUGAAUCAGACAUUGGAGCGAACUUCCGGACACCUUGGGGAUCAAAUGGCAGAGGAGAGCUGGACUGAUGGAACACUCAAGUGAAGAGAGGAAAAAGACCAGAUGGGGCCAAAUUGCCUGGCAGACAUGGGCUGUCUCAUAUCAUAGCAACCCUAUUGGCCGUCUGCUUCGAGGAUGUGGCCAACAGGUCUUCAGAGAACUACAAUAAAACUGGGAUACACUGUGACAGAUCCUCUCUGGCUAAAGAAACGAUGGAGUCCGCUCGCAUGGAGAGCCUGAGGGGCAAUUUUCCCUCCCCCUUUUUUCACAUUUUCUUUUUGCUUCGUCAUAUUGCUCACACACACACACACACACACACACUCUGCUUGAGUCUGAUGAAUAAUAUGUUUUCUCCUCGCCUAAUAUGAGAGCAUGCACAGACACACUCCUUUUCCUAAUCUCCCCUGCUUUGAACGCUGACUUUAUCCUAUCUGACUGAGUGAAUCUUUAUACAGCCUCUUCACACACAGUCUAUGGGGAUGGUAAUAAGAAAGAGUUGACUUCCCUAUGAGCUUUCUACAGCAACAGGCAGAGUGAGUGGGGAAUAUGAUGCCUGUGGAUGUAAUGCUUCAAUAAGCCAAAGACAUGAAUCUGGGGAUCUGAUUCUAUGCCUCCAACAUCCUGCUUUUUCAUUUCUCUGUUCCAUUUUUCUGCUUGCAUUUUAACUGCCAAUGGUGUUCACACAUUUAUCCUUGUGAAAUGGAAUGGGAUUUUUUUUUCCUUUCUUUCUUUUUAAGAAAGGUUGAAUAAACAUUUGUUCUUUGUCAGUACCAUUUAUCUUCACACGUAUUGUGACUUAGUCCAAAGCAGUUUUCUCCUUUUGGCUGCUGUUAGAGGAGUGUAGGGGUUAAGGGCCCUUCUAAAGAGCACCUUCAAGAGAAGAUAUUUUUCACUUGUGUUAACAUGUAUGGUAUUUCAAUAACUUUCCAUAGUGAGAUUUAAACAACGGCUCUUUGAAUUUACACCAGUAAUUUACAGGCCAGUGUGUACCUGUCUUAACUACAACCCUAUGUCUCCUAGUGCUUGCUGUUUCUUACUUUUAACAAUUGACAAGUGAAAUAAAAACAUUCAGUCCAAAAAAAAAUUUUUUUUAUCCAAAAAUCCAGUUAUGACAGAGAGAAAUGGAGCCUCAGUAUAUUUGCUCAGCAUACAGUAAUAAAACACUGGAAGUUAUGCUAUCCUUGAAUCAAAAUGGAAUGAUUACCAAAGCAUCCCGUGGAAAUGAAGUCCAAAUGUCAGUGUGUGUGGUGGGGGCAUGCAGCUUUUGGAUGUGGGUAAUUCGUCUAACUAGUAACAUGUGACUGACGCGAGAUCUGAAGCUUUCCUGGGUGUCUCAUCACAUGCCAUGUACAUAAACAGUGUCAUACAUUUGACAUUUGCUUCUGUGUUUAGGAACACAAGUGGAGAACCAGAUGAGUGUGAUUUCAAUUUUAUAUGACAAUGCUGUCGUCAUCUGCUGUCUAUGUUAUGGUACUGUAGAGCCAGUGGAAAAUUUCAAUUUAGUGCUCAUUAUGUAGCAUUUCUGAUAUGUUUAAAACAUUAAAAUAGCAUUUUCAAGGAUCCAGUUUAUAUCCAGUUUAUGUUAUCCUUGUGUCAAUCAGUAUGACGUUUCCUCUUACAUUGAUACACAGUAUUUUGGCAUGAAAUACUGCAUUUAAGACCUAAAUGUACUUCAGAUAAUAUCUGCUUAUAUACCUUGGAUGUCAUAGUAUAUUCCUUCAUUAAAGUUGAAAUAUUUUGUUUUUCUUACAAUAGAUGGGGCUUUGCUUUGACAAAAAGUGUCAUAACCUAGAGGAAAAUUGUGCAUGCUUGACAUAACUGACAACAUUUUAAACA
Xiphias gladius (swordfish) is the source of this 1989-nucleotide long non-coding RNA. RefSeq lists it as uncharacterized. The transcript has 3 exons. The record is from RefSeq and is a predicted model, not a curated record. Lineage: Eukaryota; Metazoa; Chordata; Actinopteri; Istiophoriformes; Xiphiidae.